CCCUUCGGGGUACUCGAGUGGCGAACGGGUGAGUAACACGUGGGUGAUCUGCCCUGCACUUUGGGAUAAGCCUGGGAAACUGGGUCUAAUACCGAAUAGGACUACGCGAUGCAUGUCGUGUGGUGGAAAGCUUUUGCGGUGUGGGAUGGGCCCGCGGCCUAUCAGCUUGUUGGUGAGGUUACGGCUCACCAAGGCGACGACGGGUAGCCGGCCUGAGAGGGUGACCGGCCACACUGGGACUGAGAUACGGCCCAGACUCCUACGGGAGGCAGCAGUGGGGAAUAUUGCACAAUGGGCGCAAGCCUGAUGCAGCGACGCCGCGUGAGGGAUGACGGCCUUCGGGUUGUAAACCUCUUUCGCCAGGGACGAAGCGCAAGUGACGGUACCUGGAGAAGAAGGACCGGCCAACUACGUGCCAGCA
RNAcentral lists this ribosomal RNA (421 nucleotides) under Mycobacterium sp. Ri494. RNAcentral describes it as "bacterial SSU rRNA". It matches the Rfam family "Bacterial small subunit ribosomal RNA", at positions 76 to 513 of the family's 1533-position model. Lineage: Bacteria; Bacillati; Actinomycetota; Actinomycetes; Mycobacteriales; Mycobacteriaceae. The record is from RNAcentral.